This 253-nucleotide ribosomal RNA is filed under the name uncultured bacterium. RNAcentral's name for it is "partial 16S ribosomal RNA". It matches the Rfam family "Bacterial small subunit ribosomal RNA", at positions 524 to 776 of the family's 1533-position model. The record is from RNAcentral.
UACGUAGGAGACGAGCGUUGUCCGGAAUCACUGGGCGUAAAGCGCGUGUAGGCGGAUCGGCAAGUCUUCUGUGAAAGCUCCUGGCUUAACCGGGAGUGGUCGGUGGAAACUGCCAGUCUGGAGGACGGUAGAGGUAGGUAGAAUUCCCGGUGUAGUGGUGAAAUGCGUAGAGAUCGGGAGGAAUACCUGUGGCGAAGGCGGCCUACUGGGCCGGACCUGACGCUGAGACGCGAAGGCGUGGGGAGCGAACGGG